Cinara cedri is the source of this 936-nucleotide non-coding RNA. Lineage: Eukaryota; Metazoa; Arthropoda; Insecta; Hemiptera; Aphididae. The record is from the annotation of a GenBank genome assembly.
GAUAAAUUUGAUGAUUUUUAAUGAGAUAUUUUGGAAUUGUUUUGCCUAAUCAAAUAUUCGAUACCUUGAUAUUUUUCUCGUUUGUUUAUAAUCCAUUAGACUUAAUUGUUUGAUUUGGCAUCAUAAUCUAAACUGAUAUAAAAUAAAUUAUAUUAAAGUUAUAAUGUAAAUGAACCAAUAUUUCUAUUUUAAUAUAAGCAUAUACUAAUCAUAAAUAUACGGAUGUUUAAUGAGAUAUUUUGGAAUAGUGGUGGCAGUUUAACUGGACGUGGAUGAUGCUAGGACGGCUUGUUCUUUUUUUGAAUAGAGCAUGUCUAAUUUGUAUAAUGGCUCUCAUUGCUAGUCAUAAUCCAAAUGAUAUCUAGUCUGAGGAUUAUAGUUACCUAAUUCAUAUUUAGCGUUUGAAUUGGAAGGUAAUUUAUUAGAAUACGGAGANGACGGCUUGUUCUUUUGUUCUUUUUUUGAAUAGAGCAUGUCUGAUUUGUAUAAUGGCUCUCAUUGCUAGUCAUAAUCCAAAUGAUAUCUAGUCUGAGGAUUAUAGUUACCUAAUUCAUAUUUAGCGUUUGAAUUGGAAGGUAAUUUAUUAGAAUACGGAGAAUAAUAUUGUUUUUUUAUUUACUCUUUUAUUCUUAUCAAUGGUGAUUUAUAAUUCUCGUUUUCAAGGUCCCAGAGCUUUCCAAAUUUUGCUAGGAUCUGGACACAAUUAAGAAAGCCGAAAGGUUUCCAGGAAUUACAGUCACCGUCUUAUCCUUUCUACUUAAUUAAAUAUUCGAUACCUUGAUAUUUUUCUCGUUUGUUUAUAAUCCAUUAGACUUAAUUGUUUGAUUUGGCAUCAUAAUCUAAACUGAUAUAAAAUAAAUUAUAUUAAAGUUAUAAUGUAAAUGAACCAAUAUUUCUAUUUUAAUAUAAGCAUAUACUAAUCAUAAAUAUACGGAU